Molecule: microRNA precursor, 104 nt
Filed under: Marmota monax (woodchuck)
Lineage: Eukaryota; Metazoa; Chordata; Mammalia; Rodentia; Sciuridae
Source: RNAcentral
ACACCAAUCUCCUGGGGAACUUGUUAAAAUGCAGAUUUCGCCUCCUUGUUCUCCAGUGGAGCCCCUGGGUUCUUGUUUCUGACAAGCACCCAGGUGAUGCAAGU